RNAcentral lists this ribosomal RNA (253 nucleotides) under uncultured bacterium. RNAcentral describes it as "partial 16S ribosomal RNA". It matches the Rfam family "Bacterial small subunit ribosomal RNA", at positions 524 to 776 of the family's 1533-position model. The record is from RNAcentral.
UACGUAGGGGGCAAGCGUUGUCCGGAAUUACUGGGCGUAAAGAGCUCGUAGGUGGUUUGUCGCGUUGUUCGUGAAAACCGGGGGCUUAACCCUCGGCGUGCGGGCGAUACGGGCAGACUUGAGUACUGCAGGGGAGACUGGAAUUCCUGGUGUAGCGGUGGAAUGCGCAGAUAUCAGGAGGAACACCGGUGGCGAAGGCGGGUCUCUGGGCAACAACUGACGCUGAGGAGCGAAAGCGUGGGGAGCGAACAGG